GAAUAUUGGACAAUGGGCGAAAGCCUGAUCCAGCCAUGCCGCGUGUGUGAAGAAGGUCUUCGGAUUGUAAAGCACUUUAAGUUGGGAGGAAGGGCAUUAACCUAAUACGUUAGUGUUUUGACGUUACCGACAGAAUAAGCACCGGCUAACUCUGUGCCAGCAGCCGCGGUAAUACAGAGGGUGCAAGCGUUAAUCGGAAUUACUGGGCGUAAAGCGCGCGUAGGUGGUUUGUUAAGUUGGAUGUGAAAGCCCCGGGCUCAACCUGGGAACUGCAUCCAAAACUGGCAAGCUAGAGUACGGUAGAGGGUGGUGGAAUUUCCGGUGUAGCGGUGAAAUGCGUAGAGAUCGGAAGGAACACCAGUGGCGAAGGCGACUGUCUGGGCUGAUACUGACGCUGAGGUGCGAAAGCGUGGGGAGCAAACAGG
RNAcentral lists this ribosomal RNA (425 nucleotides) under uncultured bacterium. RNAcentral's name for it is "bacterial SSU rRNA". It matches the Rfam family "Bacterial small subunit ribosomal RNA", at positions 359 to 776 of the family's 1533-position model. The record is from RNAcentral.